Wyeomyia smithii (pitcher-plant mosquito) is the source of this 608-nucleotide long non-coding RNA. RefSeq lists it as uncharacterized. The transcript is spliced from 3 exons. Lineage: Eukaryota; Metazoa; Arthropoda; Insecta; Diptera; Culicidae. The record is from RefSeq and is a predicted model, not a curated record.
ACUAUGAAUGAGCCAUCUUCUCUGUCUCAUUACCACAGCCUAACGUAAGAUAAGUCUUAUCUAGUAAUACGAGACCCAAUAAUCAUUCGGUACUGUUAAAACCCGAAACAAAAAAAAUAUCCAUUGUCAUUGUGCAAUUAUGCUAUGCGAUUUAUUACUACUGGAAUGAGUUCGGAACUUUUCGUUUUGCAGUUGUCGCACACAUCAACUUACAUCCAUGAGCCGCACUCCACUUACGUAUGAUUCCAACAUCCCUUUCAGGUGAAUUGCACUUGAAUCUGCCCCACUGUUUCAUCACAGUGAUUAUCAUGUGCGAAACACCUUCAUUUACGUAUGAUUCCAACAUCCCUUUCAAGUGAAUUGCACAUGAAUCUGCCCCACUGUUUCAUUACAGUGAUUAUCAUGUGCGAAACACUUUCAGUUGAUUUGUUUUGUUUUUAUAUGUCAAAUGAUGUGCCGUUUGGGCUGAAAAGUAGAAAAAUGGCGACAGAUGACAAGUAAACGAGUGUCAUACGGCUCAGAAGUUUGAGGAUUUUCCAGACUACAUCUGCAAAUUUUUGGAAGCACAAGAUCACAGAGAUUCUGAUGAAAACAUCUUUACGCUAGAG